RNAcentral lists this ribosomal RNA (839 nucleotides) under uncultured bacterium. Its description in RNAcentral is "bacterial SSU rRNA". It matches the Rfam family "Bacterial small subunit ribosomal RNA", at positions 67 to 901 of the family's 1533-position model. The record is from RNAcentral.
CGGAGUNUGUGGCGGGUAACCAAAGCAUACUUAGUGGCGAACGGGUGAGGAAUAGAUGGGUAACGUACCCCGGACUCAGGAAUAGCGGCGCCCUUCGGGGCUUUAGCGAAAGUGCCGGUAAUACCUGAUGAUAUCACCGCAUCUCCUGGUGUGGUGAUCAAGGGUCCGCCGGUCUGGGAGCGGCCCAUCUCCUAUCAGCUUGUUGGUGAGGUAAAAGCUCACCAAGGCGACGACAGGUACCAGGCGUGAGAGCGCGAUCUGGCACAUCGGGACUGAGACACUGCCCGGACAUCUACGGAUGGCUGCAGCAACGAAUAUUCCGCAAUGGGCGCAAGCCUGACGGAGCGACGCCGCGUGCAGGACGAAGCACCUCGGUGUGUAAACUGCUGUCAGGGAUUAGGAAGCAAGUGACCAAUCCCAAAGGAAGCCUCGGCUAACUCCGUGCCAGCAGCCGCGGUAAUACGGAGGAGGCAAGCGUUGUUCGGAAUUACUGGGCUUAAAGCGUGUGUAGGCGGGAUGGAAGGUAUCGUGUGAAAGCCCCCGGCUCAACCGGGGAACGGCACGGUAAACCGUCAUUCUUGAGGCCAGCAGGGGUACCUGGAACUUUGGGUGGAGCGGUGAAAUGCGUAGAUAUCCAAGGGAACGCCGGUGGCGAAAGCGGGGUACUGGGCUGGUUCUGACGCUGAGACACGAAAGCGUGGGGAGCAAACAGGAUUAGAUACCCUGGUAGUCCACGCCGUAAACGAUGUGCACUANNUAUCAGCGCCUCUGACGGGGUUGGUGCCNAAACAAAAGCNAUAAGUGCGCCGCCUGGGGNGUANNNCCGCAAGGCUAAAACU